CUGCAGUGAUGACUUUCUUAGGACACCUUUGGAUUCAUCAUGAAAACAGCUGAAUUCUGAGCAGC
Small nucleolar RNA from Alligator mississippiensis (American alligator), 65 nucleotides. It matches the Rfam family "Small nucleolar RNA SNORD58". From Rfam's summary of the family: snoRNA U58 is found in introns 1, 3 and 6 of the ribosomal protein RPL17 gene in humans. U58 is a member of the C/D class of snoRNA which contain C (UGAUGA) and D (CUGA) box motifs. Most of the members of the box C/D family function in directing site-specific 2'-O-methylation of substrate RNAs. NCBI's taxonomy places the organism in Eukaryota, Metazoa, Chordata, Crocodylia, Alligatoridae. The record is from Rfam.